This 208-nucleotide ribosomal RNA is filed under the name uncultured bacterium. Its description in RNAcentral is "partial 16S ribosomal RNA". It matches the Rfam family "Bacterial small subunit ribosomal RNA", at positions 568 to 774 of the family's 1533-position model. The record is from RNAcentral.
CGUGUAGGCGGAUGGGGACGUCGGUUGCUGAAAUCCCCCGGCUCAACCGGGGAACGGGCACCGAAACGCCCCGUCUGGAGGGACGUAGGGGGACCUGGAACUUCCGGUGGAGCGGUGAAAUGCGUUGAGAUCGGAAGGAACGCCCGUGGCGAAAGCGAGGUCCUGGACGUUUUCUGACGCUGAGACGCGAAAGCUAGGGUAGCGAACG